Molecule: long non-coding RNA, 2152 nt
Organism: Gallus gallus (chicken)
Lineage: Eukaryota; Metazoa; Chordata; Aves; Galliformes; Phasianidae
Source: Ensembl
ACAAUCCUGAAGCUACUAUUUUGUAACUGCUAAGUGAUAAAAAAAAAUAAUUACAACUUUACUGGUUACCUGGACUGUCCUGUGUAUCACACUUACACAUUGCUCCUACAGACUGAUCUGUUGGUGUUCCAACUGCUGGCAAUUUCGCACAGCAGCAGACAGGUAUUUUCACAGCCAAGCUUCACAUGACAACGUGGUUUGGUUCUCAGGUCCUGAUCUUGUCCUUAGAAAAGAGGUACAUGCUGUCCCACUGGAAUUCUGCCCUACAAGCUGCAUGAACACAGAAGCAGGUAUCAACAAAUGAAGUAAACAAUCUGAACCUAAGCAAAUACCGCGAUAGGAGAUUUGUCUUUUAAUUAUAAGAGUAAGAAAUAUACCAGCCAUAAGUUUGGAAAGCUCCCUGGGUCAGUAGCUACUUUUAAAAGUGUGAAAUUUUGUCUAUGGCUGUUGCUAACUGAUAAAUUCAACUGUCUCCAUCCUAUGUUACUCCCAGCAGAAUCCAGAAUCCAGAGCAAGCAGAGAUGGGCUGUGCAAUCCAGGUUGUCCAUUAACUCAUAAAUAUGGAAAGAGUUUUAGGCCCAGAUACCUCCAACUCCUAAAUUGCACCUAGAAGAUCCAACUAUAUCCCCUGUGAAGUCUCUCAAACAAUGAAAUAAGGAAUCUGUGAUGCAACAUGACUUAUGGUAAAACUAAACUAGCAUAAUUCCUAUUGGAGUAUUUUAGCAUUUCUUUUCUCUGCCACCUGGGCUUUAAAAUAUUUUGCCAGUGCUCAGUAUGGAAUCUGUGCCUAAAAGGUUGUAAAUUUUUAGUUCUUUCCUACUUUAAUUUAUAUUAGUGACACAGAAACUUUCCUUCUUUUGGGAAAGCAUGGGCAAGGCCACCACUCAAUCAUAUGUUUUGAAAACUGGCUGAAAAACCACACUCAAUCAAUAAAGACCAAAGGCUGACAUGCAGCCAGUGAAGAACAGUACUCAACAUCUAGAUCAGGCCCUGAUGAUGACACAGAAUGCACUCUGCACAAAUUUGUGUACAGCAGACUAGGGAAUGGCUGACAUGAGGAUUGGUAGAGCUUAAUCCAAAGAGAUCCCAAUAAAUUUGAGAAUCAGGCAGAUACCUUGAAGAACUCAACAGAGCAGAAUAACCUCAGGAAUAAGGAUAGAUUGAGAGCUGACUGGAGAGCAAAGGACCACGGGACCAUGGUGGAUGUCAGGCUGGGUGUGAGCCCUUUUAAACCAACAGUGCAGGCUCUUUGCAAACAAUGCAAGCCAUCAAUAAACUGAACUCCAAUGAGAGAGGUGUGGCAGGGAAUUAUUGUGUGGUGUGGCAGGUAUUUUCCCACAGUCAUUAAAAAAGAUUAAUUGGGACCAACAUUUUUCAGAGCAGUUGCCAGAUACUACUUUAACUAAAUGCUGCCCGGGGAAGUGGUGGAGUUACUGUCCUUGGAGGUUUUCAAGAAAAGUGUACACGUGACACUUAGGGAUAUAAUUUAGUGAGCAAGGGGGUGAUGGGCUGACGGUUGGAAUAGAUGAUCUUAGGGUUUUUUUCCAACCUUAAUGAUUCUGUUAUUCUAGUAUGCAUAGAAAGAAAAAGAGCACCGUCUCAUAGAAAUGGAUGUAACCUAUCUGGGAAAUUAAAAAGUAGAAAUCCUUGUCCUCCUUGUCCCUGGAGGUAAUGAACAGAGAAAUAAUCUUCCUUGAAAGCUUGGUGACUUUCUUGUUAGAGGUCACAGUGUUGUCCCAGCAAGGGCUGAUGCUGCCUGUCUUUAAUAGCCCUCAUUUGGGAGCAUAGUUGAAUUCUGAAGGCUGGCUAGAAGCAUUACCACUUGUAACAAAACAAGAACAUUAUGUUUUACACAGCAUAUUCCAUGGCAUGUCAAGUAACAGAUGAUCCUGAAAGAUCCCCUUGAAUACCUUAUCUACCAAGCAAGGCCCUUCUACUGCUUUUUCAUAUCAUCACAAGCAGAGAGGUUUUGAGGCACCGUGCAUUGCACAAGUAAGAGGCUUUGAAAGAACGUGUUUAUUGCAUGCAGCACUUUGUGUUUUAGGUCCUAAUGGUUUUUAAAAACUCCUAAUGGUCUUUAAUUUUUCACAUUGUUAUGUCUAAUUUAUGCUUACUGUGAUUGCAUUCUUGUUUAUUAAAAAGUAACUGAGAG